Molecule: ribosomal RNA, 302 nt
Filed under: Rhodospirillales bacterium
Lineage: Bacteria; Pseudomonadati; Pseudomonadota; Alphaproteobacteria; Rhodospirillales
Description: partial 23S ribosomal RNA
Rfam family: Bacterial large subunit ribosomal RNA
Source: RNAcentral
UUAGAACGUCGUGAGACAGUUCGGUCCCUAUCUGCCGUGGGUGAAGGAAACUUGAAAGGAGCUGUCCCUAGUACGAGAGGACCGGGAUGGACACACCUCUGGUGUACCAGUUGUCGCGCCCGCGGCAUCGCUGGGUAGCUAUGUGUGGAAGGGAUAACCGCUGAAGGCAUCUAAGCGGGAAGCCCGCCUUGAAACGAGGUUUCCCUGAGAGCCGUGGCAGACCACCACGUUGAUAGGCCGGGUGUGGAAGCGCAGCAAUGCGUGAAGCUAACCGGUACUAAUCGCUCGAUUGGCUUGCGUUU